Molecule: long non-coding RNA, 4763 nt
Organism: Centrocercus urophasianus (Greater sage-grouse)
Lineage: Eukaryota; Metazoa; Chordata; Aves; Galliformes; Phasianidae
Exons: 6
Source: RefSeq, a predicted model, not a curated record
ACUGUUCUGUGUAUUUGAAAAGUUUUUCUUUGUUCUGCUUAAAAACUGGGAGUGGUACAAAACAAGCAUAGCAUUUUGGCGUCCACAGCUCCUUCUCCUGGAAGUGCCACUUUGUGCAGGCAGGAAGCCCGGUGCCCCUUUGAAGAACGUCUGCAGGGGAGAACAGAUAUUUUUAGAGGCACCCUCCAGCAAUGAGCAGUUCAUUGCCAGCUUAUCUCUGUGUUUAAACAAUAAUCAACCUCUUCCGCUCUCAGUUGGUGAUUCACAGUAAUUUUGUGUUAUACGGGCUCUAGACAAGAUGAAGGCAGCUGCAUACAUUUGAUCAGACUCACACAUUAGCUGGAUUCUGACAGGCUGGCACUGUCCUCUUUUAGCAGUGUCCUUUGUGCAUACAAAUGUGCUGGCAAAGGAUUUCCUGAACCGCGUGGCUGAGUAUGACCAGCAUGGGAACGCUCCUACUACAGGGAGUGAAUCGGUGCCUUGCCUACAAGGUCCAGACAAUUUUGUUUCCUGUUUCGGGCACUGCACUGGAAACAUGAUACAUCCAGUUAAUCUUCAACGGGCGAUUUCAGACGUUAUAGGUCCACUUAUACCUUGUGAUGAAUUACUGCUGUGUUUGGCAAAUAUUAAAUAACAUUUUUUUGUUGACAUGGAAGUGUGACCUGCAGGCUGCAGCUGGUCCCAGUGUUCGGCACAGUUUGUGUCCUGCCGUCUGGUUCUUCCUCCCUCUGUUCACUUGCUAUUGAAACACAGCUGGUUUACGUCCAUCACAAUCAAUGGAAGGACAUUUCCGAGCUGGUAAUUGCUUAAAGGAUCCGGUGCUGAUGGCUUCUGGAGCUGCCAAUCCAGGGAGCAGCUUUUGGCUCCUGCUGUGUACAGUAUGUCUGCAGUUUGACCAUUUAUCUCACUUUACAUACUUGAAUUGAAAGAAAGAAUAAACAGUGUAAAUCUGUGUCACACACCAGAUGUCCAUCACAUUACAGCAUGGAGGUCUAAUUCCAAAUAUCUGAAUGUUGCAUGGAUGCGUGAUUGAAAACAGAUGACUGAGGCCUGAUCCUGUUCUCAGAAAAGCUAUUGUAAAACCUGGAGGUGGAAGUUGAGCAAAAAGGGGCACUUACUGAUGCUUUCCCAGAGAGAGGAGCUUGAAGGUUGAGGGAACAGCACUGCCAUUGAAAGAGUCCACUGUGAAAGGAAUUAAUGCUCAAUCUGAAGUUACAUGGCAAGAUUUAAAUUGCCUUAUUGUGGAAGACUACACCGACGGCUUGAAACGAUGGUGCUCCAACAUCAGCACUUGCUGGAAUUUUGCCCAGUGGUGAAGAUGAACUGGAUGACAGUUUUCAGAAGAUUUGCACAGAAACUGUACGAAGGAAAGGAAAGCUGCCCAGCCUAUGGCUGCUUCAUCACACUGCUAUGAACAUGGAAUAGAGGUGGCAGAAUUAAAUCCAUCAGAAUACCUGAGCUGCAGUAAGAACAAGCACUGCCCAGUGUCUAAUGACAUAAAGAAAUGCUGACAUAAAACAGUGAAACAUACCUUUAUCCAUCCCUCCUCUCAAGCCAACGACGGAUCUGAGCAAAGCUCAGUCAUACCUAGAGCUUUUCCAAAUCGGUAAUGUGCGUAAGAGCUGUCUGGCAGAUGUGGAAUAAAUCCAAAACAAAUGCAGGCCGUGCAAGCUGACUGCAUAUGCAAUGCAAGGGGCAGAGCAUGGGGCUGCUGUCUGCUGCUGCUCUUUGAGGUGGUCAGAGACCAUCUCAGCAGAUGGGACCAAACUGUCUUGUAGCUGGUGAUCUCAGAUAAAAGGUUUUGACCUGGGCCAAAGCUACCAGACAUCACAAAGUCACAAACAAGUCUAUAAACAUAUCAAAAUAAACCCAGAGGGAGCCUCUCAGCAGAAAGGAGGGAGAGGAGGAGUCAUGGACAGAAAAAUCUAGGAAAAACCCUCUAUGUGCUAGAGUGCUUGCAGGCAAUGACAUGAAACAGAUCUCAGUUCUUCUAGGUGUUCUCAGGCUAAAGCAGUUCUUUUUUAACAAGGUUAUUUUUUGUGAGACUAUAAAUGUUAAAAUAUGAUCAAAGCAACAGUUUGUUCAUUAAUAAUAUGGCCUAGAACUGGGCAGUGAUUCCUAAUUGUGAAAUGGGUAGUACUCAACCUUGUUUUCUGAUUGGCUUUAGGGAGCUUGAAUGCAUGGCCUUAUUUCACUGCAAAGCCCUGGCAGACUUUGCACAUUAAAAUUCUAAACUGUCUAAGUAGGUGUGAAACUAAUUUUGUGUUUAUUUUUUAAAAACCACCUAUGAUCAUUUAGGACCAUCCACUUCACUUUGGGAGGCCCUUACCUAGCUGCAGGUGGGCCCUAGGAGACAAUAAAGCCCACCUCAGAGAGGAUAAUUUCUCAAAUAUCAUAACCUGAAUAUUUAUAGCUUCUGGAAUCGUUGUAGCUACUUAUCCAUGUUUCCAGCCACAACUUUUCUUAAUAAGAAGGGCUUUGAAAAACUUGCUAAAUCUGGACAUAAAAGGAAACAGAAGUUUUCCUAGUGCAGUGGAAUUUUUUAAAAGUCACAUAGUAACUUUAUUGAUGAAACAAGGAAGAAAGCACUUUUCCACCAGACUUUGCAGAGCAUAUUUACAAAACACAAGAUUUUUUCAUUAACGUGUAGGCAAGGCAAAGUCAUGACGAGGUUUCCUGCAAAGUGAGGACACUUAUGUGGCUAGUCAUUUCAUCAGUGGGUUAUCUUACUCUCUUGCUUGUGGUGUUUUAAUAUGUUUAUGAGAGACAAAUCUUGGGGAAAAAAAAAUCAAAGAGAAAUGAAAGAACUCAGAGGAAUUUUGGCUUUUUAAAGUUUUAUUUAACAUGGGAAAAUGUGUGCUACAUCCUAUUUACACAAAUACAAAAAUGUUUGCAAAUCACCUUGUACAUCUAUAACAUCAACUGAUAUUUCUUUACCUUGCAGUUCACUUAGUUACUUAUAGAGGGAACUUACGCGUCAAAAAAAUUUGUCAGUGAAGUCCAAAGAGCACUGAAAUCACAAUGGCUGUGGUUUGCCCUCAGAUUCAUAAACCUGAAUUUGGGUAUCUAAACAGGUAUCUGCUAAGCUUCCUUUUCUGUCAGUGAAAAGCAAAGAUUCAAUUACCUAAGAAUGAAUAGUACCUGGGAUCACCUGAGAUGCCCAAAUGUCUCCCACCAUGUUCUUUCUGAUGCUCCAGAGAUGAUCAAGCCACCUGUGUAUGGGUCCUGUGUAUUUCCGCUAGCCUUGUAUAGGUGAUCUGGAUAGCAGCGGCUGUCUCAAAUGCAACAAAUGUAUUAAGCAACAGAAUCAUGCUUUGUGUGAAACCAGGGCUGAACCCUUGCCUCCGUCACUUUGCAUCAGUACACUGCAAUAUGCUUGUUCUACCUCGUAGUAUUUCUGUACUCUGUAGUAUUUCUCAGUUCUACUGUUCAGUGAUUUGUGAGAGGUAGGAUGCUUGGCUUUGCCAGGCUUCUCAACCCUUAUUUAUGGUUGCACAUAGCUCUGGGAAGACAGAAAUUAUGGCUUUAAUAACAUUGUCUCAAAUAGACAGAUUUGGAGAACAUGUUAACAGUUAGCAUGUAGUUUGAUUAAUGCAGAAACAUAAACGUGUAUGUAUAAAUCAGACAUUUACUAUAUUGAGAAAGCCAUGGCUGAUAACUCAUUUUUUUCUUAGUAUGUAUUUAUUUCUCAAACUAAAAAGAUCUGAUAAAUGUCACAAUAAUUCUAGUUUGUGAAUUCAGCUACAUCCAGGACAGAAGCACUAAGCAGCUCUGUGCAAUCAGAACAAUGUCCACAGCUAGCAUGAACAAUAAUAUCCCUACAGGAAAGAGCUCUGAUAAAGAUGGGUGAAUACUAGAUAAAUUACUAGCUAAACUUCCAGAAAUUGGGCUAAAUUUUCAAAGAUUCUGCUGCCAAUAACUUCACCAUACAUCUGGAAGGAUGGAAAGGGCUUUUGAAAACGUGGCCAUCCUUUCUCAGAGAUUCAAGAAGAUCCCAAAAGCACAAACAAGUGAGGUGGAUUUACCUGCUGAAUGAGGUUGCAGACCUAAUACUAGUAGAUUUUAUAUCACCUGGGGAAGUUAUAAUGCUUUUCAUGAAUGAAGAGUUACGAAGUGUUGCAGUUCUGUGGAAGUCGAGGCCUGUGUCUGUGUUACUACUACAUCCGUAAAUGUAGGGACUUAAAGCUAAAGUGUUGUUUUCCUCUAAAUCAGAAUAAUGAAUGUAAAUGCGUGCAAAGAAUGAGUCAGCAAUACCAUUCUCUAUCCUGUGAGUAAACAAUUGCUCUGGAAACUAUCUACCAUCAGUUCCAAAGCUUUUACCAUAAGGCACUAAAAACCAAGAAACUGUUCUUUCCAACCAGGAGGACUUUCCUCCCCUAAGACAAAUCUUGCAAACAGUAAACUUGAGCCAGCUCCGGCUCUGUUUGUACCCAGAAGGAGGAGGCUUUGGUUCUUUAAUUAAGAGGUCUGAGUCUAUUUUUUUUCUUUUUUCCUGUGCGGUGUUGGAAAAAUAAAAUAAGAAGACUGAUUGAUUAUAACAACAAGCUGAACACCAGAUGUUUUAUGAAUAUACGGCUUCCCCGGCCCACACCCAUGUACAUGUAAGAGAAAAAGAAAAACAAAGGACUGUUUAUAAUUGUCAGAAUAUUAAAACCUUUGCUUAUUCAAUGUUCUUUCUUCGCUGGCCUGUUCAUGCAGCCAAAAAAUUGAUUUAUGACACAGACCAUUCAUUGCUUGAGUUUUACUUUCCAAACUUGGUAGAA